ACAUUGCAAGUCGAGCGCACUCUUUUAGAGUGAGCGGCAAACGGGUGAGUAACGCGUGGGGAAUCUACCCCUCUCUACGGAAUAACACAGAGAAAUUUGUGCUAAUACCGUAUAACGUCCCGUUUUGGGAGAAAGAUUUAUCGGAGAUGGAUGAGCCCGCGUUGGAUUAGCUAGUUGGUGAGGUAACGGCCCACCAAGCGACGAUCCAUAGCUGGUCUGAGAGGAUGACCAGCCACACUGGAACUGAGACACGGUCCAG
Molecule: ribosomal RNA, 259 nt
Filed under: uncultured bacterium
Lineage: Bacteria
Description: partial 16S ribosomal RNA
Rfam family: Bacterial small subunit ribosomal RNA
Source: RNAcentral